Molecule: ribosomal RNA, 252 nt
Filed under: uncultured bacterium
Lineage: Bacteria
Description: partial 16S ribosomal RNA
Rfam family: Bacterial small subunit ribosomal RNA
Source: RNAcentral
UACGUAGGGUCCGAGCGUUGUCCGGAGUUACUGGGCGUAAAGCGCGCGCAGGCGGCGGUGUUGGCCCGGCGUGAAAGCCCCGGCUCAACCGGGGAGAGUCGUCGGGGACCGCACCGCUUGAGGGCGGUAGGGGCUGGUGGAAUGCCUGGUGUAGUGGUGAAAUGCGUAGAGAUCAGGCAGAACACCUGGGGCGAAGGCGGCCAGCUGGGCCGUCCCUGACGCUGAGGCGCGAAGGCGUGGGGAGCAAACAGG